Long non-coding RNA from Gossypium raimondii (Peruvian cotton), 459 nucleotides. RefSeq lists it as uncharacterized. The transcript is spliced from 2 exons. Lineage: Eukaryota; Viridiplantae; Streptophyta; Magnoliopsida; Malvales; Malvaceae. The record is from RefSeq and is a predicted model, not a curated record.
GUCUCUAUUCUAAGUUCUAUUCAUAGCAAUCCGAGUAAGUCUCUACCUUGUUUAAGUUGAUCGUCCCAAAAUCUAGGUUCGCUUGCGUGUGUGAUAUCUGUAUGCUCUGUUAGUAAUCUAUUUAUUUGUUACGAACCAACCAAACCAUCUUCUAGCAAGGACAAAGGCAAAGCCAAAAUUGUUUAAGUUUCUUUAUUUUCCGGUAAGUAGAUCGCGGAUGGCAUAAGCGAUGUCGAUGAUUUGAUGAGGCAUCUGACUGAUAGGGUGAACCAUAGAGAUGGGCAAUGGGUUUAUGUUAUGCUGUUUUGAACGAUAGUUAUAGUGUUAAUUUGAUUAUCAAAUAAUUUUCUUAUGUAUAAAAGUACACUAUGCUAUGUUAUUAAGUUUACUCUAUUUCUGUGAGCCAUGAUAUGGAUUUUUCCUUCUAUUUGAUAAUUAAUAAAUUGAUGUUAUCAUGCA